Molecule: unclassified non-coding RNA, 944 nt
Filed under: Primulina sp. 2 JT-2014
Lineage: Eukaryota; Viridiplantae; Streptophyta; Magnoliopsida; Lamiales; Gesneriaceae
Description: partial 166FR
Source: RNAcentral
UUUCUUCCUUAUUACACUAUAUAUCUUUUUAUGCUUGUAGUUUACCAUCUUGGUCAUUUUAUAUAUGCCGUUAUUUGUAAGCAUUUAUCUUGCUGUGGAKUGAGGGUUCGGGCUAGAAUUUUAUUUGGCGGCUUCUGACCUGUAACUUCUCCUAUUAUUUUUUUACUUUGAAAUGCUUUCAAACAAUUUGGCCUGUGAGCUAUAAAUUAAUCGCCUUUUUUCGUUCUGGGUCUGAUUACUAAGCCGGGAGGGAAAAUGAAGAAAGAAUCUCAGCAACUAUUAAACUCAUUUUUACUAAUGCUUCUGUUGGUACAGCCAGAGAGGAACUCAAACAUUUUCUCCCGAUCUAUUAUUUUAAGAUGGAAUUGAACUGCUAGGACAAUUUGAAUGAUUACGUUCAUCAUUCAAUGCUAAAAUUCAAUUGCAGAGCCUAAUUCUAGAAUGCUCUACUAUAAUAUUUUCCAAUAAAUGUUGUAUUUGAAAUUUUAGAUUUGAUUAAAAAUAAGGAGUAACCACCACCCACUUGUUAGAGUUUAAAUGUGAGGUGUGAGAAAGUGGUAAAAAUUGUGGAAUAAAACUGUUGUGCGGAUAAAUGGUGCAUAAGAUCUUGUGAGGUGCUUGCUUUAGCAGUAUUAUGCUGCAAAUUUAUUGUAUUUGAUAACUUGUUUCAUUGAAUCAGCAUGGUCAAGCUAAUGCUCAUUACGAGCGAAUGUUCGCUUCUCUCAUUUAAUGUGGAAUUAGGGUUUAAAAUAGAAUGAAAUAUUUUGAGCGAGUAGCAGGACACACAUCAAAAGUAAAAGUGCACACAUAUGGCACACAGUUUGUUAUUACUGGAUUCAACUAUUUGUUUUUGUGCAACUGGUGCUGAAAUUUGUAUAUUUUGUUAUGUAUAAAGGUACAGGUUAUUUGGGCGAGCGACCCAGUUUCACAACGGAGGGAAGGAG